UUUUAUGGAGAGUUUGAUCCUGGCUCAGGAUGAACGCUGGCGGCGUGCCUAAUACAUGCAAGUCGAGCGAACGGACGAGAAGCUUGCUUCUCUGAUGUUAGCGGCGGACGGGUGAGUAACACGUGGAUAACCUACCUAUAAGACUGGGAUAACUUCGGGAAACCGGAGCUAAUACCGGAUAAUAUUUUGAACCGCAUGGUUCAAAAGUGAAAGACGGUCUUGCUGUCACUUAUAGAUGGAUCCGCGCUGCAUUAGCUAGUUGGUAAGGUAACGGCUUACCAAGGCAACGAUGCAUAGCCGACCUGAGAGGGUGAUCGGCCACACUGGAACUGAGACACGGUCCAGACUCCUAC
Molecule: ribosomal RNA, 353 nt
Filed under: Staphylococcus aureus
Lineage: Bacteria; Bacillati; Bacillota; Bacilli; Caryophanales; Staphylococcaceae
Description: bacterial SSU rRNA
Rfam family: Bacterial small subunit ribosomal RNA
Source: RNAcentral